Gavialis gangeticus (Gharial) is the source of this 110-nucleotide long non-coding RNA. RefSeq lists it as uncharacterized. NCBI's taxonomy places the organism in Eukaryota, Metazoa, Chordata, Crocodylia, Gavialidae. The record is from RefSeq and is a predicted model, not a curated record. The transcript has 3 exons.
AUCAAGAAUGGUUCAAGGGUUGGGGCACAUGAUGUGUGAGGUGGGGCUGAAGGAACUGGGCUUAUUUAGUCUAGCGAAGAGAAGACUGAGGACGGAAUUGAUAAGAGCCU